RNAcentral lists this ribosomal RNA (672 nucleotides) under Photobacterium phosphoreum. RNAcentral describes it as "bacterial LSU rRNA". It matches the Rfam family "Bacterial large subunit ribosomal RNA", at positions 1082 to 1753 of the family's 2925-position model. The record is from RNAcentral. Lineage: Bacteria; Pseudomonadati; Pseudomonadota; Gammaproteobacteria; Vibrionales; Vibrionaceae.
GGCUCAGACAGCCAGGAUGUUGGCUUAGAAGCAGCCAUCAUUUAAAGAAAGCGUAAUAGCUCACUGGUCGAGUCGGCCUGCGCGGAAGAUUUAACGGGGCUAAGCUAUACACCGAAGCUGCGGCAAUGUGAAUUUAUUCACAUUGGGUAGGGGAGCGUUCUGUAAGCCGUUGAAGGUGCAUUGUAAAGUGUGCUGGAGGUAUCAGAAGUGCGAAUGCUGACAUGAGUAACGAUAAAGGGAGUGAAAAACUCCCUCGCCGGAAGAUCAAGGGUUCCUGUCCAACGUUAAUCGGGGCAGGGUAAGUCGACCCCUAAGGCGAGGCCGAAAGGCGUAGUCGAUGGGAAACGGGUUAAUAUUCCCGUACUUCUUAUAAUUGCGAUGGAGGGACGGAGAAGGCUAGGUGAGCCUGGCGACGGUUGUCCAGGUCCAAGUAUGUAGGCUGAUGGUUUAGGCAAAUCCGGACCAUCUUAAGGCUGAGAUACGAUGUCGAGCUACUACGGUAGUGAAGUCAUUGAUGCCAUGCUUCCGGGAAAAGCUUCUAAGCGUCAGAUUAUAAGAAAUCGUACCCCAAACCGACACAGGUGAUCAGGUAGAGAAUACCAAGGCGCUUGAGAGAACUCGGGUGAAGGAACUAGGCAAAAUGGUACCGUAACUUCGGGAGAAGGUACGCUC